Molecule: ribosomal RNA, 253 nt
Filed under: uncultured bacterium
Lineage: Bacteria
Description: partial 16S ribosomal RNA
Rfam family: Bacterial small subunit ribosomal RNA
Source: RNAcentral
UACGAAGGGGGCUAGCGUUGUUCGGAAUUACUGGGCGUAAAGCGCACGUAGGCGGAUUUUUAAGUCAGGGGUGAAAUCCCGAGGCUCAACCUCGGAACUGCCUUUGAUACUGGAGAUCUUGAGUUCGGAAGAGGUUGGUGGAACAGCUAGUGUAGAGGUGAAAUUCGUAGAUAUUAGCUAGAACACCAGUGGCGAAGGCGGCCAACUGGUCCGAUACUGACGCUGAGGUGCGAAAGCGUGGGGAGCAGACAGG